Molecule: non-coding RNA, 3301 nt
Organism: Aegilops tauschii subsp. strangulata
Lineage: Eukaryota; Viridiplantae; Streptophyta; Magnoliopsida; Poales; Poaceae
Source: RefSeq, a predicted model, not a curated record
GUUCCUUCUUCGCGUUGAUUUUCCUCGCUCCUUCUCAACCAGCGGCUCCGCUCCAUCCAUCCAUCCAUCCACGCUGCUGCUGCUACUUCCCUCCACCAUCUGAACCCCCCUCCCCCCACAACCUGCACCUACGUCGGCUGUUCUUCUAUCUCUCCAUCGGAAAACUGCCGCUGCUCCAUUGCUUCAGCAGGUACAUCACAUGUAUAACGAGAGAGCAAAGAUAAAUACUUGUCCAACCAGAGAUGACUGGAAUAAUGGUGAGCGCUUCAACCGGGGUGAUGAACUCUCUCCUGGGUAAGCUGGCCACCCUGAUGGGGGAGGAGUUCGCCAAGCUAAAGAACCUGAGGAAGGAGGUGAAGCACAUCAGCGAUGAGCUGAGCAGCAUGAAGGAUGCUCUAGAGAGCCUUGCAGAUGUGGAUAUGCUGGAUAAACAGACCGCUAGCUGGAGAGACGCGGUCAGGGAGAUGUCGUAUGACAUCGAGGAUAUUAUCGAUGACUUCAUGUGCAAAAUUGGGGAGAAAAGCAAAAAAACUGGUUUUAUCCACGACACCAUUCAACGCCUCAAAACUUCAAGGGCCCGCCAUCAGAUUGCUGGCCAGAUCGGGGACAUCAAGAAACUUGUGCGUGAAACAAGUGAGCGGCGUGAAAGAUAUAAGAUUGAUGUCCCAAAAUCGGGCAAUGUGGUAGUUGACCAACGCGUUGUGGCACUCUAUGAAGAAUCAUCUAAACUUGUUGGUAUGGAUGGCCCAACCAAUAGGCUUGUCAAUUGGCUAAAAGAUGAGGAGAAGAAGUUGAAGAUUGUAUCAGUUAUUGGUUUUGGAGGUUCGGGAAAAACAACACUUGCCAAUCAGGUAUACCAUAAGCUGGAGGGGGAAUUUCAGUGUGGUGCAUUUUUGGCGGUGUCUCAAAAGCCAAAUAUGCCAAAACUUCUGCAUAGUUUAUUAGCCCAACUUGGGUGUGGACAAUAUUAUCAUGACUGUGAGCUAAAUGUUCUUCUCGACCAAGUCAGAGAAAAUCUAAAAAAUAAGAGGUACUUGGUUAUUAUCGAUGAUCUAUGGGAUGUAUCAGCAUGGAAUAUUAUUAAAUGUGCUUUCCCAGAAAAUAAUCUUGGUAGUAGAUUAAUAGUAACUACAAGAAUCAAGACUGUGGCUGGGGCAUGUUGUUUUGGUUACCAUGAGCACAUUCUUGAAAUGAAACCUCUUAGUGAAGAAGACUCAAGGAAAUUGUUUUUUGGUAGGAUAUUUUGCUCUGAAGAAGCUUGUCCAGGUCAACUCAGAGAUGUUUCAGUUGAGAUUCUCAAGAAGUGUGGUGGUUUGCCACUUGCAAUCAUUUGCAUAUCCAGCCUAUUGGCAAGUGAACGUUCCUACCAAAAGGAGAGGUGGAAACACGUACUGAAUUCAUUGGGGUCUGUGUCAGGCACAAAUCUCACCUUGGAAGCCAUGAGACAGAUCUUGAACCUUAGCUACAAAAAUCUUCCUCACCACCUCAAGACAUGCUUCUUGUAUCUUGGUAUGUUUCUGGAGGACUCUGAAAUAUAUAGGCAUGAGUUGGUAAGCCUAUGGGUUUCUGAAGGCUUUGUUAGUAAAGCACAUGGACAAAAUCAAAAACAGAUUGCGAUAAGUUAUUUUAAUGAGCUUGUCAACAUGAGUCUUAUUCAACCUGCACAGGUUGACAUGCAUGGGUCAGUGUUAACUUGCAAAGUACAUGAUAUGUUGUUGGAUCUUAUCCUGUACAAGUCCGCGGAAGAGAAUUUUAUCACUGUAGUAGACAACCUAGAGGCCAUUACAGGACAGCUUCAAAAGCCCCGUCGGAUGCUCUUCAACUUGGAUGGUGCGACAUUGCCAAGGGACGUUAAUAUGUCACAAGUGCGAUCAUUUGCAAACUGGAGAGGCUCCACGAAUAUACCUUCAUUGGCAGAAUUCAAGUAUCUUCGAGUUUUUAUAGCUGACUUCAGUUCUAGUUCUGUUGAUGACAACCGGAAAAUCGACCUGACAGGAUUGUGUAAGUUAUAUCAGCUGCGACAUAUACAGAUUGAAGGCUGUGAUAACUGCCAGCUACCAACGCAGAUUAGAGGGCUGCAAAAGUUGGAAACAUUUGAUAUAGAUGGGUCCUGUAUCCCAAUGGAUAUUUUUCACCUGCCGUGUUUGUUGUCUCUGCAUAUUUUUCACCUGCCGUGUUUGUUGCCUGAGGGCAUUGGUAAAAUGAAAUAUCUACAGCGUCUGAGAUGGUUUGACACGCUGCACACCUCAAUCGACAGUAUCAAGGGCCUAGGAGAGCUCACCAAUCUGAGACUUCUGUACCUCAGAACCGGUUUUUCUGAAGAUGUGGACAUGGAUGUUCUAAACUCUUCUUUGGCGAAACUUUGUAACCUCGAGUCCCUGAACGUAUUUUCACCUGAUUCUUGGAUACCUGAGGCACUAACCUUGUCGCCUCCUCCCCCCAACCUCAUGGGACUCUCCAUGAUGCGAAUAUCCCGGGUCCCAAACUGGAUUGAGGAACUCCAUAAUCUCCAGAGCUUGCAUAUCACUGUUGAUAAGCUAAACAACGAUGAUGUUGGUAUUCUUGCAGGGUUACCCGCUCUCAUGGACCUGGAAUUAACGUUCAGUAGAGCCCUGGAAGAAACAAUUGUCAUAUAUGGGACAGCAUUCGCAAUCCUGAAGCGGUUUGUUGUCUACUGGACUAUCAUGCCACAACUGACCUUCGAAGCCGGAGCAAUGCCUAAGCUCCAGAGCCUCUCUCUACCUUUGAACGCCAGGGGGUGGAAGAAGGACGAGAGCGCCACACCUACAGGCAUCGAGCACUUGUUAGCACUUGAAAGAAUCUCUGUGGGGAUUGGGAGUGAUACAGAAUCUGAACAGCGAAGUGCAGAGUCUGCCAUUAGGAGCGCUAUCAACAUGCAUCCUGGCCAUGCUCACAUUAAAAUCGACAUCCAAUGUUACUAACAAACAGUGCGGUUUUUUUCAGCAGCUGGGAAGUCAAUGAUUAUUUUCUAUGGAGCAACAAGAUGAGGUACGCCACGGAAGAUUGAGGUGUCUCCAACAUUUAUGUCGUAUUGUAGUGGAUGGAGAUGGAUAACUGCAUUUUCUCCCUGUUGGGAAUAUCGAGCUAUCACUUUGCUUUGUUCUGCUAGAUAUCUCGACGAACUAUUUCUCCUUUGUCUCCAAGAUUAUGCACGAUUAUGCUCUGCUUGGGUUCUUGGUUCUUGUUGUGUGUGUACGUUUGCUUCUUGCAUCAAACGUAUUCAACUGAACAUUUAUUCCUUGUACUGUUUGCAUUUCUUAAAAGGACAGUUUAUAUGUUG